Molecule: ribosomal RNA, 851 nt
Filed under: Xylodon rimosissimus
Lineage: Eukaryota; Fungi; Basidiomycota; Agaricomycetes; Hymenochaetales; Schizoporaceae
Description: partial small subunit ribosomal RNA
Rfam family: Bacterial small subunit ribosomal RNA
Source: RNAcentral
ACAUUCGAUUAGGUAGUUGGAAGGGUAGAAGCCUCCCAAGCCGACGAUCGAUAGUCAGGUUUGACAGAACAGAUGACCACAUUGGGAAUGAAAUAUCCCAAGUAGCAUUAAGCUACCAGCAGUCAAGAAUAUUAGUCAAUGCUCGCAAGAGUGAACUAGCUAACUGAAAUCAAAGGUGUGUCACUUUUGAUAAGGUAAAGGAAAAUAAAUGAUACUACUUUACUAUUAGUGUCGUCCAAGUACUCGUGCCAGAAGACUCGGUAAGGCGAGAGACGCAAACGUUAGUCGUCUUGAUCAGGCGUAAAGGGUUUGUAGGCGGCUUUAAGAAUGGAUUCCUUCUAAAUAACACUACUUUAUUUUUAAAGUAACGACAUCGGAAGGGAAAAAUCAAUUAAAGCUAGAAUCAAAUAGAGGUCAAAUUAAAUAAUACUUGGUGUAAGAUUGGUAUCUUUAAAAACCAAGCGGAAUACUAACGGCGAAGGCUUUUUUCCAUUAAUGAUUGACGCUGAGAAACUAAGGUGAGGACAGAAAAAAGGAUUAGAGACCCUCGUAUUCCUCACUGUCAACGAUGAAUGGUAGUUACUAGUUAUAAUUAUUAAAAAAAAAUAAAAAACAAAACUAGAGACGAUGUUAACACGUAAACCAUUCCGCCUUGUGAGUACGACUGCAAAGUUGAAAACAAAAAAAUUAGUCGGUUUCGGAGCAAACGAAGUGAAGCAUGUUAUUUAAUACGAUACCCCGCGUAAAAUCUUACCAGUCCUUGCAUAAAACUUUUUUUAUAAAAUAUUGUUUUAUAGCAGAUUUUUCUAUGGUUUAGUUACUAUAGCUUAAAUUGAAUUAUUUUAUAAUUC